UUAAAUUGAAGAGUUUGAUCAUGGCUCAGAUUGAACGCUGGCGGCAGGCCUAACACAUGCAAGUCGAACGGUAACAGGAAUCAGCUUGCUGAUUCGCUGACGAGUGGCG
Molecule: ribosomal RNA, 109 nt
Filed under: Shigella flexneri
Lineage: Bacteria; Pseudomonadati; Pseudomonadota; Gammaproteobacteria; Enterobacterales; Enterobacteriaceae
Description: partial 16S ribosomal RNA
Rfam family: Bacterial small subunit ribosomal RNA
Source: RNAcentral